UCAACAGUCCAUGUUGUGAACCGCAGUGCUACCUGAGAACUCAAGCUUGGGUCACACACACAUGAAUCCUGCAACAUCUGUCAAAGGAUUAUGCAGUUGUCUGUAAUCCUUCUGUUUCUCCAGCUGUGGGGGAAUGUGGAAGUUUCUCUGUCACAGAAUGUGUGUUCGAAGCUCCCAGAUGUUCCUCACGCCCAUGUGUCAGAAGAGACCAAAAAAGCUGAGUACCAAGAAACAGACGUGAUACAUUUCACUUGUGAACCUGGUUAUAUAUCAGAUCAAACC
Long non-coding RNA from Micropterus salmoides (largemouth bass), 282 nucleotides. RefSeq lists it as uncharacterized. NCBI's taxonomy places the organism in Eukaryota, Metazoa, Chordata, Actinopteri, Centrarchiformes, Centrarchidae. The record is from RefSeq and is a predicted model, not a curated record. The transcript has 2 exons.